RNAcentral lists this long non-coding RNA (242 nucleotides) under Nicotiana benthamiana. RNAcentral describes it as "long non-coding RNA (NBEN_LNC001141)". Lineage: Eukaryota; Viridiplantae; Streptophyta; Magnoliopsida; Solanales; Solanaceae. The record is from RNAcentral.
AGGGGACUACCCAGUAACAAAAAAAACUAAGUAAAGAAAGCCAUAAAAAUUUUACUCGGCCUCAUCUCCACUACCAUCUUCUCCGUCAUUGUCAUCAUCGAAAGGAAGCAUGUCUUCAAUCUCAACACCCUCACUGGCCUCUAGUAUUGUGGGUUAUAACCACAGGCAAGACGAGCCUCACAUGACUUGACCUGAGCAUCUUCAAAAGCAGCCUCAGAAAUGCUCCCCGCCAUCCACAAACC